CAUUAAAAGAAUCUGUGCUAAGCUUCACUGUAAGCCUUAGAAUUACAAUUCCAACACAUGCUGUGUACUUAUCCUGUUGCUUCCACGGGGUGGAGCUGUCCAUAUGCUUUGUUGAUUGAAAGGUCAGCAGGCUUAAGGUCAGUUUUGCCAGCUGAUUAUUGCAAUUUUGAUGAUCUAGUUGGUUCCCGUGGAAGGUACCAUUCAAACCAUUUGAAUUUAGAUGUUUUCUGUCUGAUUUGUGUUAACAAUAAUUGUUAAAACUUUCAACAACGGAUCUCUUGGUUCUCGCAUCGAUGAAGAACGCAGCGAAAUGCGAUAAGUAGUGUGAAUUGCAGAAUUCAGUGAAUCAUCGAAUCUUUGAACGCACAUUGCGCCUCCUGGUAUUCCGGGAGGCAUGCCUGUUCGAGCGUCAUUAAAACCCAUUCAAGCUCAAUUGCUUGGUUAUGAAUGUUGAGCGCAGCAUCUGCAACUGCUCACCUUUGAAUAUUAUCGGCGAAGUGCUUUGUGCCGUUUUAGCGUUAUAAGUUUGCUCUUUCGCUUGAACGCACAAGGUGAUCCUGCCUUAAAUCCCCAUGUAUUUUUUUUCGGUUGACCUCGGAUCAGGUAGGGAUACCCGCUGAACUUAA
Molecule: ribosomal RNA, 626 nt
Filed under: uncultured Ascomycota
Lineage: Eukaryota; Fungi; Ascomycota
Description: eukaryotic LSU rRNA
Rfam family: 5.8S ribosomal RNA (bases 259-412)
Source: RNAcentral